GGCUGCGAACUUCUCGUUGGUUGACCAGAUCGUGGAUCGGCUUCUGGGGCCGAAGUCCGCAGGUUCGAGUCCUGCCGCGGAUG
Molecule: transfer RNA, 83 nt
Filed under: Planctomycetota bacterium
Lineage: Bacteria; Pseudomonadati; Planctomycetota
Also listed under: 1 other name
Description: tRNA-Gln
Source: RNAcentral